This 156-nucleotide ribosomal RNA is filed under the name Millerozyma farinosa. Its description in RNAcentral is "5.8S ribosomal RNA". It matches the Rfam family "5.8S ribosomal RNA". Rfam says of the family: 5.8S ribosomal RNA (5.8S rRNA) is a component of the large subunit of the eukaryotic ribosome. It is transcribed by RNA polymerase I as part of the 45S precursor that also contains 18S and 28S rRNA. The record is from RNAcentral. Lineage: Eukaryota; Fungi; Ascomycota; Pichiomycetes; Serinales; Debaryomycetaceae.
AACUUUCAACAACGGAUCUCUUGGUUCUCGCAUCGAUGAAGAACGCAGCGGAAUGCGAUAAGUAAUAUGAAUUGCAGAUUUUCGUGAAUCAUCGAAUCUUUGAACGCACAUUGCGCCCUUUGGUAUUCCAAAGGGCAUGCCUGUUUGAGCGUCAUU